RNAcentral lists this ribosomal RNA (484 nucleotides) under uncultured bacterium. RNAcentral's name for it is "partial 16S ribosomal RNA". It matches the Rfam family "Bacterial small subunit ribosomal RNA", at positions 30 to 507 of the family's 1533-position model. The record is from RNAcentral.
AUUGAACGCUGGCGGCAGGCCUAACACAUGCAAGUCGAGCGGAUGAAGGGAGCUUGCUCCUGGAUUCAGCGGCGGACGGGUGAGUAAUGCCUAGGAAUCUGCCUGGUAGUGGGGGAUAACGUCCGGAAACGGGCGCUAAUACCGCAUACGUCCUGAGGGAGAAAGUGGGGGAUCUUCGGACCUCACGCUAUCAGAUGAGCCUAGGUCGGAUUAGCUAGUUGGUGGGGUAAAGGCCUACCAAGGCGACGAUCCGUAACUGGUCUGAGAGGAUGAUCAGUCACACUGGAACUGGGACACGGUCCAGGCUCCUACGGGAGGCAGCAGUGGGGAAUAUUGGACAUUGGGCGAAAUCCUGGUCCAGCCAUGCCGCGUGUGUGAAGAAGGUCUUCGGAUUGUAAAGCACUUUAAGUUGGGAGGAAGGGCAGUAAGUUAAUACCUUGCUGUUUUGACGUUACCAACAGAAUAAGCACCGGCUAACUUCGUG